This is a long non-coding RNA of Vespa mandarinia (Asian giant hornet), 103 nucleotides long. The record is from RefSeq and is a predicted model, not a curated record. Lineage: Eukaryota; Metazoa; Arthropoda; Insecta; Hymenoptera; Vespidae.
AUCGAGUUCGUUUUAUUUUGCAUUUUGACGAGUAAACAUCGAAGCUCUCUCUUCCUAAACGCAAGAACUUAUAAAUUAAUGCUUUCGAUAAUUUGUCAAUAAU